RNAcentral lists this ribosomal RNA (253 nucleotides) under uncultured bacterium. RNAcentral's name for it is "partial 16S ribosomal RNA". It matches the Rfam family "Bacterial small subunit ribosomal RNA", at positions 524 to 776 of the family's 1533-position model. The record is from RNAcentral.
UACGAAGGGGGCUAGCGUUGCUCGGAAUGACUGGGCGUAAAGGGCGCGUAGGCGGAUGGCUUUGUCGGGCGUGAAAUUCCAGGGCUUAACCUUGGGGCUGCGUUCGAGACGGGUUGUCUUGAGUGGGGAAGAGGGUCGUGGAACUCCCAGUGUAGAGGUGAAAUUCGUAGAUAUUGGGAAGAACACCGGUGGCGAAGGCGGCGACCUGGUCCUUUACUGACGCUGAGGCGCGAAAGCGUGGGGAGCAAACAGG